UAGACGUAUGCAUGAAGUAUUAAAUAUAGACGAAAAUAAAAACUAAUUGCACAGUUUGGUCGGAAUUGAUGAGAUGAAUCUUUUGAGUCUAGUUAGUCCAUAGUUACACAAUAAUUACCAAAAAAAAAGAUGCUACAGUAUCAUGAAUUUUUUUUCCUUCGUACUUAGACUGACCGGCCAGGCAGGUCAACCACAAUGAAGUAAUAAACCAGUCCACAUUAGCCAUUAAAAAAAUUCUCC
RNAcentral lists this long non-coding RNA (240 nucleotides) under Sorghum bicolor (sorghum). Its description in RNAcentral is "long non-coding RNA (SBIC_LNC018150)". Lineage: Eukaryota; Viridiplantae; Streptophyta; Magnoliopsida; Poales; Poaceae. The record is from RNAcentral.